RNAcentral lists this ribosomal RNA (446 nucleotides) under uncultured bacterium. RNAcentral's name for it is "bacterial SSU rRNA". It matches the Rfam family "Bacterial small subunit ribosomal RNA", at positions 29 to 521 of the family's 1533-position model. The record is from RNAcentral.
AACGAACGCUGGCGGCAUGCCUAACACAUGCAAGUCGAACGAGACCUUCGGGUCUAGUGGCGCACGGGUGCGUAACGCGUGGGAACCUGCCUUUAGGUUCGGAAUAACUCAGAGAAAUUUGAGCUAAUACCGGAUGAUGUCUUCGGACCAAAGAUUUAUCGCCUUUAGAUGGGCCCGCGUAAGAUUAGCUAGUUGGUGGGUAAAGGCCUACCAAGGCGACGAUCUUUAGCUGGUCUGAGAGGAUGAUCAGCCACACUGGGACUGAGACACGGCCCAGACUCCUACGGGAGGCAGCAGUGGGGAAUAUUGGACAAUGGGCGAAAGCCUGAUCCAGCAAUGCCGCGUGAGUGAUGAAGGCCUUAGGGUUGUAAAGCUCUUUUACCCGAGAUGAUAAUGACAGUAUCGGGAGAAUAAGCUCCGGCUAACUCCGUGCCAGCAGCCGCGGU